RNAcentral lists this ribosomal RNA (702 nucleotides) under uncultured bacterium. RNAcentral describes it as "bacterial SSU rRNA". It matches the Rfam family "Bacterial small subunit ribosomal RNA", at positions 71 to 788 of the family's 1533-position model. The record is from RNAcentral.
UUCUUUUAGAUUCGAAGCGGUUAGUGGCGGACUGCGUGAGUAACACGUAAGCAACCUGCCUAUUAGAGGGGAAUAACAGUGAGAAAUCACUGCUAAAACCGCAUAUGCCGUGAACAUCGCAUGAUGAAAACGGGAAAAGAGCAAUCUGCUAAUAGAUGGGCUUGCGUCUGAUUAGCUAGUUGGUGUGGUAAAGGCAUACCAAGGCAACGAUCAGUAGCCGGACUGAGAGGUUGAACGGCCACAUUGGGACUGAGAUACGGCCCAGACUCCUACGGGAGGCAGCAGUCGGGAAUAUUGCGCAAUGGAGGAAACUCUGACGCGGUGACGCCGCGUAUGGGAAGAAGGUUUUCGGAUUGUAAACCAUUUUAGACAAGGAAGAAACAAGACAGUACUUGUAGAAUAAGCUCCGGCUAACUACGUGCCAGCAGCCGCGGUAAUACGUAGGGAGCAAGCGUUAUCCGGAUUUAUUGGGUGUAAAGGGAGCGCAGGCGGGAAGACAAGUUGGAAGUGAAAUCCAUGGGCUCAACCCAUGAACUGCUUUCAAAACUGUUUUUCUUGAGUAGUGCAGAGGUAGGCGGAAUUCCCGGUGUAGCGGUGGAAUGCGUAGAUAUCGGGAGGAACACCAGUGGCGAAGGCGGACUACUGGGCACCAACUGACGCUGAGGCUCGAAAGUGUGGGUAGCAAACAGGAUUAGAUACCCU